This 446-nucleotide ribosomal RNA is filed under the name uncultured bacterium. Its description in RNAcentral is "partial 16S ribosomal RNA". It matches the Rfam family "Bacterial small subunit ribosomal RNA", at positions 338 to 795 of the family's 1533-position model. The record is from RNAcentral.
CCUACGGGAGGCAGCAGUAGGGAAUUUUCGGCAAUGGGGGGAACCCUGACCGAGCAACGCCGCGUGAACGAAGAAGUUAUUCGUAAUGUAAAGUUCUUUUAACAGGGAAGAAAGAGAAAUUUGAUGGUACUUGAUGAAUAAGCUCUGGCUAACUACGUGCCAGCAGCCGCGGUAAUACGUAGGGAGCGAGCGUUAUCGGGAAUUAUUGGGCGUAAAGGGUGCGUAGAUGGCAUAGUAAGUAUUUUGUAAAAAUGCUGGGCUAAACCCAGUAGGGCAAAAGAUACUGGAAAGCUAGAGUAUGACAGAGGCAAGUGGAACUACAGGGGUAGCGGUGAAAUGCGUAGAUAUAAGGAAGAACACCGGUGGCGAAGGCGGCUUGCUGGGUCGAUACUGACAUUGAGGCACGAAAGCGUGGGGAGCAAACAGGAUUAGAUACCCUAGUAGUC